This 395-nucleotide ribosomal RNA is filed under the name uncultured bacterium. RNAcentral describes it as "bacterial SSU rRNA". It matches the Rfam family "Bacterial small subunit ribosomal RNA", at positions 997 to 1393 of the family's 1533-position model. The record is from RNAcentral.
AUCUAAGAGAUUAGACGUUCCCUUCGGGGACAUGGAUACAGGUGGUGCAUGGUUGUCGUCAGCUCGUGUCGUGAGAUGUUGGGUUAAGUCCCGCAACGAGCGCAACCCUUAUUAUCAGUUGCCAGCAUUAAGUUGGGCACUCUGGUGAGACUGCCGGUGACAAACCGGAGGAAGGUGGGGAUGACGUCAAAUCAUCAUGCCCCUUAUGACCUGGGCUACACACGUGCUACAAUGGAUGGUACAACGAGUUGCGAACUCGCGAGAGUAAGCUAAUCUCUUAAAGCCAUUCUCAGUUCGGAUUGUAGUCUGCAACUCGACUACAUGAAGUCGGAAUCGCUAGUAAUCGCGGAUCAGCACGCCGCGGUGAAUACGUUCCCGGGUCUUGUACACACCGA